GAACGCUGGCGGCGUGCUUAACACAUGCAAGUCGAACGAUGAACCACUUCGGUGGGGAUUAGUGGCGAACGGGUGAGUAACACGUGGGCAAUCUGCCCUGCACUCUGGGACAAGCCCUGGAAACGGGGUCUAAUACCGGAUACGAGCCUCACGGGCAUCCGUGAGGCUGGAAAGCUCCGGCGGUGCAGGAUGAGCCCGCGGCCUAUCAGCUUGUUGGUGAGGUAACGGCUCACCAAGGCGACGACGGGUAGCCGGCCUGAGAGGGCGACCGGCCACACUGGGACUGAGACACGGCCCAGACUCCUACGGGAGGCAGCAGUGGGGAAUAUUGCACAAUGGGCGAAAGCCUGAUGCAGCGACGCCGCGUGAGGGAUGACGGCCUUCGGGUUGUAAACCUCUUUCAGCAGGGAAGAAGCGCAAGUGACGGUACCUGCAGAAGAAGCGCCGGCUAACUACGUGCCAGCAGCCGCGGUAAUACGUAGGGCGCAAGCGUUGUCCGGAAUUAUUGGGCGUAAAGAGCUCGUAGGCGG
This 530-nucleotide ribosomal RNA is filed under the name Streptomyces djakartensis. RNAcentral's name for it is "bacterial SSU rRNA". It matches the Rfam family "Bacterial small subunit ribosomal RNA", at positions 31 to 578 of the family's 1533-position model. Lineage: Bacteria; Bacillati; Actinomycetota; Actinomycetes; Kitasatosporales; Streptomycetaceae. The record is from RNAcentral.